CGUUAUCCUAGCUGUGACAAGCAGCUAAUUCGAAGUUUAUUUAUCGUUUCAGAAGAAGUGCAUCUCAGACAAAAGGCGCAUUUUAGUUCUUGAAUGAGAACCAUUACAAUUACACAAAUACUAUGCUAUCUAAAAUUAGAAGUCUCGAAGCGUCCUGCAGAGACCUGGACCCUGGAUUUGAACAGAGACAGAAAUGGGUGCACCAGGUAGUGGAUCAUACUGAACAGUUUAUCACAGGAUUGAAAGAUGACCAUUCACAGGCAUAUCGUACAAAUGACAAAGAAGGAAAGGGUAUCUUUGAGAGUCCGAUCAAUGACAAUCCCACUCGCAUGGACGCAGUCACAGUGACGCUAACUUAGGGGGUAUUAAAAUCAGCUGUCCUAGCAGCCAUAGUUAAGCACGGAUAUAGUAUAGCCGUCGCCGAUUGAAAUGGUAUUAGUGCACCGAAACUGUUCGGCGAAGAUGCUAGGAAACUUUGAAAUCGACAUUUGGUAGAUUACUUACCACGUAACAAGUCUACAGAAGAUAAACACAAAAAGACAUUGGUAAAGGAACAAUCGCACAAUUUAACUCGUUUAUAUUUAUGUACUCGUUAAUUUCAAUAUAUCAUUAUUUGUUGCACAUUUUAGUCUCGCUUUAUUCAAU
Long non-coding RNA from Saccoglossus kowalevskii, 645 nucleotides. RefSeq lists it as uncharacterized. Lineage: Eukaryota; Metazoa; Hemichordata; Enteropneusta; Harrimaniidae. The record is from RefSeq and is a predicted model, not a curated record.